Non-coding RNA from Odocoileus virginianus texanus, 597 nucleotides. The record is from RefSeq and is a predicted model, not a curated record. Lineage: Eukaryota; Metazoa; Chordata; Mammalia; Artiodactyla; Cervidae.
CCGGGCCCGGCCCGGCCCGGCCCGAGCCUGCAGCAGAGCCCUCGAGAGUCAGCGCCAUGGCGGAGCAGACCUACUCGUGGGCCUAUUCCCUGGUGGAUUCCAGUCAAGUGUCUACUUUUCUGAUUUCCAUUCUACUUAUAGUCUAUGGUAGUUUCAGGAAUCACAGACAAAAGAACAGCAGGUUUGAAGUAGAUCUAAAAGGAAAUCAAAAGGAAGAUAUACUUUAUAAUUGAUAAAAAGGUAAUACAUAAAUAUAAUACAGAUGCAUCUCUUUAUGUAAAGUUACUAUAUAAGGGAACAAUGGAACUUUAUUAUAGAGUAACUACUACCUUUUUUUAAGGCAAGCACCUCCCUGUGCUUUCUUUCAUUUCGAGGAUAGUUUAUUUGCUUAUACCCAAACCUACUCUAGGAAGACAGUGCAGAGAUGAUAAGGAAUGUACUUUAUAUGAUUUUUUUACCUUCAUACCAAAUGCAUGUAACUAUAAAGUUAGACCAGGUUAACCAAAAUAAGUCUUAUUAUGGUUCACAAACCAGCUCACCAUGAGCCAUGCUGUGUAGGGCCACCCAAGAUGGACGGGGUGGGGUCAUGGUAGAGAG